This 509-nucleotide ribosomal RNA is filed under the name uncultured bacterium. RNAcentral describes it as "bacterial SSU rRNA". It matches the Rfam family "Bacterial small subunit ribosomal RNA", at positions 988 to 1509 of the family's 1533-position model. The record is from RNAcentral.
GUUUUGACGUUAUUGGAAACAGUAAUUUCUUCGGACAAAAUACAAGGUGCUGCAUGGUUGUCGUCAGCUCGUGCCGUGAGGUGUCAGGUUAAGUCCUAUAACGAGCGCAACCCCUGUUGUUAGUUGCCAGCGAGUAAUGUCGGGAACUCUAGCAAGACUGCCGGUGUAAACCGCGAGGAAGGUGGGGAUGACGUCAAAUCAUCACGGCCCUUACGUCCUGGGCCACACACGUGCUACAAUGGCCGGUACAGAGAGCAGCCACUUGGCGACAAGGAGCGAAUCUACAAAACCGGUCACAGUUCGGAUCGGAGUCUGCAGCUCGACUCCGUGAAGCUGGAAUCGCUAGUAAUCGGAUAUCAGCCAUGAUCCGGUGAAUACGUUCCCGGGCCUUGUACACACCGCCCGUCAAGCCAUGGAAGCUGGGGGUACCUGAAGUCGGUGACCGCAAGGAGCUGCCUAGGGUAAAACCGGUAACUGGGGCUAAGUCGUAACAAGGUAAGCGUAGUGCU